Rattus norvegicus (Norway rat) is the source of this 22147-nucleotide non-coding RNA. The record is from RefSeq and is a predicted model, not a curated record. Lineage: Eukaryota; Metazoa; Chordata; Mammalia; Rodentia; Muridae.
CGAGGCCUUCCUGCAGAGGGUUGACAAGGAGCCGGGUAGAUGAAAGGUUCCCAUGGGAAUGGGAGAAUGUGGCCCCAACAAUCUCUCUCAGAACCAUUCAUGGGCGAGAACAGAACCAAUGGUGCCGAGUUUCUAGCUGGUGGAUCUGCCCAGCUGAGCUGUGAACUAUCAGGUUAGUUCCAGAAAAAUCUCGCUAACUAGGAUCUAUGGAGUCGUGUAAGAUCUAAAGGAGUAAGAGCGUCUUUCGCUGUCAGUCAGACCGCAGUGCAGAUAUACAGAGUGAAGACUUUGGAAGAAGGGACUGUCGAGGCUUGAAGGAUACGACCAAGGGGGAGAAACCCAUGUUGGAGCCAUUUGAUGGGUUUUGCACGGUUCAUCAGAAACUGCUAUGCUUUAGCUGUGGUUUGAGAUCAAGGCUCCAAGAGUUGGAAGCUUGGUCCCCAUUUUACUAGCAUUGGGGAGCACUAAAACCUUUAAGAGGCGGGGUCGUUGUGGACAGUGUUCUCAGGAGGAAUUGAUGCAAUUCUCAUGAGACCAUAGAUCUCGUGGAUGAGUAAGAAGAGGAAGCCCAGCCCUCCCCGCACUCUGGCUUCCCCUCUCCUCAGGAUCAUGUCCUGCCCCUCAGCUAUGCCAAAUCCUGCUCAUUGUUAGAAGACACCUCAAGGCCUCCUCCUCAUCCCUGAACUCUUUCUUGAUCAUUCGGAUCUGGAUGGGAGCUCACUGUGUCUGGAGACCUAUUAGCUUAUAGCGGGCACUUGUAAAUGCUUCGGUUGGGUGGUGCUAACGCAGACAUCAAGUGUCCAGGGUGGACUGGAAGCGGAGCAAGAAGAAGGAAGCAUCAGAGUCUCCUUCAACAGCAGGAAACCGGCAGGCAUCGGAGCCCAGAACCCAAGAGCACAAGACACCAUGGCCCUAGUGACACUGUAGCCUCUCUGGGAGGCAGAACAGUGGACAUUUCGGACACACGGUUUACUGCUGCUUGCAGUUGCUUAGGGAUUUAUUACUUCUGUGACCCUGGGCUAGCCACUCUAGCCUCAGCUUUCUCACCUUCAGACUUGGAUACUAAGAAUCUUAGAGAGUUGUGAUAUUACAUGAGCUCAUUGAUGCAAAAACACAUCAAUGCUAAGAAUGUGUGGCCACUUCAAUAAAUGCCAUCAGAUCCUCUUUAUGAAAAAGGGGUGUGUGAUCAAAGGAAUCCUGCUACAUAGGAUAUCCCUCUUCGUAGAGACUGACGAAGUGCAUAGCAUAGUAAAAGCCCUGUAAAGACUUAAGUAAAAUUACUAAUAGAUGUUAUAUCAUAUAUGAUUAAUAAUCACACACACAGGGUUGGAGAGGUAACUUAGCAGUUAAGAGCUCCGACUGCUCAUCCAGAGGUCCUGAGUUCAAUUCCCAGCAACCACAUGGUGGCUCACAACCAUCUGUAAUGGGAUCUAUGCCCUCUUCUAGUGUGUCUGAAGACAGUUACAGUGUACUCAUAUACAUAAAAUAAAUAAGUAAAUCUUAAAAAAAAAUCACACACACACAUGCACACACAUGCAUGCAUAUAUUUACCAAGUUGGCUCUUUCCCUCUUUUUACAUGUAACAUUUAUUCCUUCUACUUUGUUGUUGUUUCUGAGACAGGGUGUUACUACGUAACCCUGACUGGUCCUCACACUGUUGCUUAGGGUAGCCUUAAACUCACAGCAGCACCUCCCACCUCGGCCUAUCAAAUGCUGACUUGUAAGGUUUAUUUAACAUACUUUUGGAAAUGUGCUGUUAAUUGUAUUUAAUGAGCAGAGGAAAGGCUAAUUAAAUUGUUUAAAGCUAUCAUGGUUUAGGCUUCAUUUCCCACAGUCUCCUUAGUUACAGGAGGAGCAGAAUGGUUUGAAAGCCCCAAGGGAUGGCCAAUGUCAGGCAAAGGGAGCAGAUCAGUGAGGAGCUGUUCUUGGCCACAGAGACGUUUCUAGAACUAUAGAUGCUUGGAGUCCAUCCUGUUAGAUUCCAGCAGCUUUAAUGACUAAAUCCCACCUUCCUGGGUCCCAACCCCCUGGACAUAGACUCAGCCUCCCAGGUUUUUAGAGUAACCCUAAUAUUCAGGAAACUCUCCCACAACACUGGAAGGAACCCACCACCUUAACUAUGUCCGUAUCCAUGUCCACAGAACUUGGAAGUUUUGCGUGUCAGUGAACACUUUCUAUUUUGGAGAUGGAAAGAAAAGAAACCUUCAGACUCCUUUCUUAAUCUUUCCACAGCAUGCAUGUCUGUCAACUGAGCAGUAAACUGGAAACAAUUUUAGGAAGGCAUAGUUUUCGAUUUUUUUUCCAUUUGUAACUAGGGCAAUAGAGCGGAUUUUCAGUUAUAGCAGAAGGUAUUCAUGUCCUAUACCCUGGAAGGAAGGGAUCUGCCUCUUGUUGUGUAGAGACAGUUGUCGGGUAGGUUGGGCUGGCCUGGACCUCGCUGUCAGACCAGGUCGCUCUCUGACCUAACGGUCCUUCCUCUCCUGGUACGACAGGCACACACAACAGCUGUACUUAAGUCUCAUCUCAAAGUUACUUUUGUUUUCUUGUAUUACUCUUUUAAUUUAAAAGACGGACACAAAAAUCCACAGUCCAAACACCCUUUUAGCUUCUUUACUUAAGUGACAAGUAUUUUUAUUUAUAUAAAUAUGUAAUUAAAAUAUGCGCCCAUACCGUAUGUGCAGUUUCCUGAACAAAAGUCAGUAAUAAGAGCAGGUGAUGUUACCUAUAUGGUAAUGAAGUAGCUUAAUCCGAUGUGGAGUUUCCCAAGAUUCCUUAAAGCUUUAAGGAAAACCCUCAAGAAGUAAAUGGAAUGCAGAAGUUAAAUGGGAGGCGGGGCACGUGUAAGUGUCCAAAUCAAUUUAACAGGACACAGGGACUGGGCAAACCUACGACCUAUUACAGAACGGAAGUGUGCUUUCAGAGGGCUAGCUGUCCAAAGGUGGACUCUUUAGACUGAUGUCUUUCCCCACAGAUUAAGUCUUGGAUCCAUAUCAGUAGUUUUAUCCUUCAUUCUGCUAUGAGGUAAAAAAGAUCCACAAUUAUGUUUUGCAACACGAGAGACUGAAGUGACAUGACUGGACCACAUCAACUUCAUGGCCAUGCCCACACUGCAGCAGACAGUCACCUAACUGUCUGCUACGCUUUCCUUCCUUCUAAGGCCUUUCCUUCCUCAGAGUUUUAUUAUUCCAAAGAAGAACAAUCAAAAUUGACCAUUUUCUUAUGUGAUAAAACCAGUGGAAAACAAACGUAGGCCUGUCGAGGCGGAGUUAAUGGUGGCCGUACAUGACCGCUGCUGUGGACGCCGUGCGGCUCAGCUAGCGUGUGCCGCCUGGGUGGGGGUUCUGCAACACAAAUGGUUAUCUACUGUUUUCUUAUCGUCACACACUCUAAAAAACAUUUUUAUCUUUGGCGUGUGUCAGGCACCAGCGUUCAAUAGGAGGCUGAAUAAAACCCUGGUCCCCAAAUUCACGGGCCAGCGCAGUAAGAAACAAGUGUAGCGAAGGUCUCCAAAGGUGUUCUUUGUUGAGUCUGGGAGAGAGGCUAUCGAGCACAGCAGGGCUGAAGACAUCAUUCCCAUGGUUGGGAUGCUUUCCAAGGGCACUGCCAGCGCUCAGCUGACAAAGGCCACACCCCUAACCCUCCAUUCCCUUAGUUUAAAGAUUAUUGAUCAGAUUUCUAGGGCCUGUGCCCUAGGAAGGGAGAAAUAAGUGGGGAGGGGAAGAAGGGAGGGAGAGAUGGAUAGAGACAGAGACUGAGAGAGACAGAGAGAGACAGAAUAAGACAUGGAGAGAUAGACACAGAGAAAGACAGGAAGAGGGAAAGAGACAGAGACAGAGAAUGAAAUAGAGGCAGAGAGAAAGGGAGAAGCAGGCAGUUAAAAGACAGAGGAGUGGGGGAGAGAGAGACAGAAAGACAGAGGAGGGGAGCAAAAAGGAAAAGGAUGGAGGUGGGAGGACAGAUGGAGAGGAGAAGUAAAAGUUAAAAUGCCUGCCACAGAGAACACAUUCCCAAAGCAGCUAGAAGCUUCCUGGGGUGUGACGGGUGGCUUUGCUGAGCCCGAGAAAUCUGUAUUCUUGUGUCGGGUGUAAGCUCUAGACUAUGGUAUCUUUUCUUUGCCAAGUAAUGGACCAUGGGAACUUGGGUAUUCAAUCAAAGGAACCCUGUGGAUCCCAGCCAGUAAAGCACUGCCCUCCGCCGCCACCAGUGAGGGCAAACAAAACACAGGCUCAAUCCCCAAGGUGACUUCCCCACCCGGCACACCAGGUGCCACCCUCAUGCCCAGGUGGGACACCUCUGUGAUGCUGCCCCUGCCCUCCAAACCCAAAACCCGACCCUCCGGGUGUUUCUUUCCUUACUCUGGGCCUCUGCCAGAGACAUGCAAGGAAAGGGUGAGCUAUUACCUCAGAUCAUUCUCCAGGGAUUCCUCGUCUGAAGAGAAGGUCCCAUUGCUGGCACUCUGGGGAGAGUGACUCUGUCUCCCAGCCGAUUCCUCCUGAGACAACAGAGUGCCUUUCUUUUUCUUUUUGCCAAACAACUUCUUAAAAGGCUGGAAUUUGCCUCCCCUCUUCUUGUCUGUGAAUUACAAGAUAAACAUACAGCUGUAGUUUGAUAGGGCCGUGCCUCUGACUAGGAACAAAUUACCACUUCUGGCCGAGAGAGCCGGGGCAAAGGGCAGCCGGAGAGCCUGCUGCUGAGAAUGGCAGGGCCGCCCUGGCCUCAAGGUGCACAGUGAGGCAGGGCACAAGCCACAGGCAUGAUGCACCUUCUGACCAUCAGGCUUCUCGAAGAUCAAGAGGAGGUUCCGACUCCCAAGGCCAGGAGGGCAGCCCCCACACACACACGUGCCACAUGAGGGUGAUGUCUCCUCCCUCUGACAAAACUGAUAGUCAGGGUCAUCUGGGAGAAGCUGUGAAAAGGCAUUCGAGCCAUACAGGGCCUUUCAGAAGUAUACGACACAAACCUCCAAUCAUUCUGUGACAUAAACCUUGUCACAUAUGGAGGAUAAUGGUUAACUCUUGGCACAAACUUUGCCUCAUUGCCACCCACGGCCAGAUAGCCCUCGAUUAGUCCCCAAAUCUCCUUUAAAGUUUUCCAGGGAAGAGAGCCCAAGUAGUUGCUUUGAGCCAGUGUGUUUUAUGACUUGGGACCAGGGCUUGCUACAAACUUUGCUGAAGGUAUUGUUGGUAGCACCUUCCACUCUGCUCCUUUGGAUACAAAUCCCUUCGCUUCACCGCAGCUCUACUAUGGAACAGAGUGUAAACCAGGGAAGUAACCAUCUAUCAUCUUUCCCUGAGAAGCCGUCUUUAAAACUGCUUCACCCUCACUAAAGAUCGGUCCCUCUGUUGACUCUGUGAUGUUACUGAAUGUUAUUAAUGUCCCUGUAGUGGACUUUGCCCAUGGGAAGUGGCACCAUCAGGAGGUGGCCUUGUUGGAAUAAAUGUGGCCUUGGAGGAAUCGUGUCACCGUGUAGGUUGGCUUUGAGGUCUUCUAGUGCUCAAGCUCUGCCCAGUGCAGAGCACAGCCUCCUCCUGGCUGCCUGCAGAUCGAGAUGUACAAGUCUGGGCUCCUUCUCCAGCCACCACAUCUGCCUGCCUGCUGCCCACCACGAUGAUAAGGACUGAACCUCUGAAACUGUGAGCCAGCCCCAAGUAAAUGAUGUCAUUUCCCAAAUUUACGCUGUACUUCUGAUCCGAAAUAUCUUUAUAAGUUUAGAAGUUCAUCUUACGCUUAUUCGACUACUAAAUUCGUUAGCCUUCUUUCGAAAAGAAGGUUCAUCCUACGUUGAGACAGUAAAACACGAAGUGACCUUAAUAGAUAUGAAUCCUUUUUAAAAGUUAUUUCUUUUAUUUUUGAGAUUAAAAUGUAAUUGUAUCAUGUUCCCCUACUCGUCCCUCUUCCCUACAAGCCCCCCCACUCCUUGCUCCCUUUCAAACGGAGCCUCACUUUUAUUAAUUCUUAUUACACAUGUAACAUAUAGAAAUGGAUAUAUACGUAAGUAUAGCCUGCUUAGUCCGCAUGUUUACCUGUAUGUGUGUUUUCAGGGGAAUCGUUUGCUGUUGGAUAUCUCCUCCCUGGGGAAGGCCGUUUCUCCCUCUCAGUGCUCCUUGGUUGCCUAGAGUUCUUCGCGUAGGGUGCAAGGGGCCUCGUGGACCAACCACGUGAGUGCGUCUUUUGCUGUUGUCCUUGUUUGACUCAUGGUUAGUUAUGACGGUGACGGUGAGACUUUAUGGGUGUAGAGUAUAAACUCUUUAGAUCAUAGCAAGAGUUAUAAAUCCUUAUUUGACUCCCCCCAAUUUAUAUUCUCAAAUAUAAAACCUCCUAUCCCCCCAAAAAGCUAGUUAUAACAGUUGCAAUUCCCUGCCUUAGGGACUGUCCCUGUAAACCUGGACAUGGGUUUAUAAACACGCAUUAAAUAAACCUAGCACUAAGACUGAACCCCCAGUGAACGUGAUUGUUGGGGGCAGGACGGCAAUGGGGGGAGGAUGAGGAGGGGAACACCCAUAAAGAAGGGGAGAGGGAGGGGUUAGGGGGAUGUUGGCCUGGAAACCGGGAAAGGGAAUAACAUUCGAAAUGUAAAUAAGAAAUACUCAAGUUAAUAAAAAAAAUACCCAAGUUAAUAAAGAUUAAAAAAACAAAACAAAACAAAAAACCCCUAGCACUUCGAGGAACACUGGAAGUCCGCUCCAUAGACUCCGUUGGCUUAGGGGCCUGACAAAUAGCAAUGCUAUUGCUAAUGUUUUUUGAGGCAAAGAUGGGGCACCAAUCAGUUGGGCAGUUUCACGACUGUGGCAAAACCCAGCACGCCUACACCCACGUCAACCCCUCAAAGCGACCGUGAGCGCCCUGCCGCACAGAGCAGAGCAACAAGCACAGACGUCCUUCAUGACAUCUGAGAACUUUACCACACAGACUUCACCCAUCUUGGGUAGAGGGAAGAGAAUGGUAAUUACUAGUAACUUGGUGUAUUCACUGGCUACAGGCACAGCUAGUGAUUAAAUGUCUGGGCCCCAAAGACAGGAGUGUUUGGUUCAAAUCCUAGUCCUGUCCUUUACCAGCAUCUACCUCCCACCCUCCAGACACUCAUGCUCUUUGCUUAAGACUGAACUCAUGGGUGAGCAGCCGGGUGCCACAGUUUCUUAAUAUUCCAUCGGUUUUUCACCUGGAAGACCCUAUAAGAUGCAUAUGUGCUGCUUUAAGAUCACAGUGAUUUUCACUCUCAAAGCACUGAAUUAAAUUUUAUUAAUUAACUUGUUUAUUAUUAAAAUUUAUUUUUGUUGUCUAAUCAUAACCUAAGGGCUUUUUUCCUAUUUAAAGAAGCACCCAUUAUCCACAGUUUCAUGGGCAUCAUCAUAUACCAUCAGAGGCUUACGUAUCAUAAACACUAGUUUAUCUAGAUAAUCCUAAAAAAUUAAAAAUCACCUGCAAGGUCAAACAAAUAGGAUUCCUUUCCCAUUUUUUCAAAUGGAUAAAAUUCUUAUGUGUUUGUUUCUACAUUUCUUCUUUUUUUUUUUUUUUUGGAGCUGUAACCCCAUGUGUUUGUUUCUAAUCUUAGAAUUAUUAAAGCACCUAACUUUCUGCGUUCCAGGGUGUGCCACCAACUCAGAAACGGGUGGUAGCAUUCAGUUUAAGCAUCGCCAUAAACUUGUUGAUCUGAGGUUCUCAGAAGUUGACUCCGGGUUCCUAAGGUCAUAACAUUGGAGAUUCCAGGUAAAAUAAAGACGAAGUGCACAUCUUCGCGAAGCAGCUUGCUGAGUCCCUAAUGUGCUAUUACCACCGCUCUCCACAGAGCAGAGAACACGCAGCUCUUAUUUGGAGGCUCAUCUUGAAGUCUGGUUGGGUUAAAGAAAUGUGACUUUUUCUUCCUCAUGCUCCUCCUCCUCUUCAAGCCCCUCCUCUCCUGCCACAUCUCCAUGCCCCUCCCCUCAUGCUCCUCUUCAAGCCCCUCCUCCUCGGGCUCCUCCAAUUUUUCUAGGAGAUUUACUGUGUAACCCAGGUUGGCCUCAAGCCUGGUUACAAUCCUGCCUGUGCCUCCCAAGUGUUAGGAUUAUAGGCACUGCUAACUGUGGGCUUCUCUGAACUCAAUUUGAUAGUCUUCAUCAAUCUUCCUCCCCCACUUUCUACUGCCUCCUAUACCCCUCCUGACCAUUUGCAUGUUAGGCAAAUACUUUACCACUGAGCUACAUGUAGACUUCAUUAUGUCUUUUAGUUUCUCUAAGUACUCUUGUAACACACACACACACACACACACACACACACACACACACACACACAGUGCCUUCUUUCCUCUAAACUCCAGGGCAUACUCCUCUGUAAACAUGAGCGUUAACCGAAACAUUUGGGACUUCACUAGUUAAAUAAACUUAAUAUUUUAUGCAAACUUCUGCAAACACUGUCAUUUAAGCAGAUACGUGAAGAUAAGGUAUACAGCAAUGGUCUGGAUCCCAAGAUUCUACCAAUUGAAGGAAUUUUCUUACCCUGGGGCCAUCUGCACACUCUUUUGAGAAGCAGCUCCCACGUUUAAAAAGAUCACAGAACACGUCCUGUAGCACACAGGGACUCCAUGGACACCACAUUUAUACCAGACCCCACAGUCCUGGGAUAUUUUAGUCACGACUAAGGGGCUGGCAGCAUGUCACCUGGGCUCCACAUCACAGGACCAUGAGAUGGGAAAACAGGGACACAUACUGUGCCCCCGGGGAGUGGCAGGCUGAUAAUCCAGCUGCUUGUCAAGUCACAAGAGGAAAGAGAAGCAUCUUCUCAUUUUCCAGGGGAAGCAGAGUAGGAAGAAGGCAUUUGCUACCAUGUUGAAAAGACAGUAUGGGGACCCCUUUGGAACAUGGCAGGGGUCCCCAGAGCCAAUGAGAGGCCAGAGAUAACAGAGAGUGCCCUCGAUUCUCUCUGCACCCGCAGCAUCCGACAUACUGCCUGAGGCUCUAGGGUGGUCCAGAUCAUCUGUUCUUUGCCGGGCACAGAGAGGUAUGUUUAGAUGCUUGUGAGGAUCGGGACAGCAUUGGCUAAACAACAACGAUGCUUUUGGAAGUCAUCAACAUUCAUGCACCCGCGCCAGCCUUACAAGGGCCUCUGGGACACUGGCAGCCCAGAUAACGGAGAGGGUCGCUCUAUGCUCUUCAUCGGUCCAGCAAUCUCACCUGCUUUGAAAAAUGUAAGUUUGCUCCACCUUGAUUGACGGAUGCUAUCUCACCCAUAAGGCAUACUAGGUGAGCGCAGAAAAGUGCACCUGGCUGAACGAGGCGUGCCGAGCUAAGAAGAAGUGUGCACAGAUGAUCCCCAAACAUCUAGUACUACAGGCCUUUGUGGGAAGAGACAGACGAAUUGUGCAGGUUCCCAUCCAAUUUCAGCCAACCCUUCUACUAUGUUACUGCAGGCUUCCCAAAGCUGGAGGUUUCAGGCAAAUGUCCUCAAGCAAAUACGUCAUCGUGUCAGUACUUCAUCAGUGUCGGAUUUAAUAUAUAUGCAUGUAUAUACAUAUUCAUACAUGUAUACCAUUCGAAUGUAUGUAUGUGUGUGUGUGUAUGUAUGUAUGUAUGUAUGUAUGUAUGUAUGUAUGUAUGUCACUCUAGAGGGCCUCACUAUAAAUCCCUGGCUGUCCUGAAACUCAUUAGUUUUGUAGAUCGGGCUGGCCUUGAACUCACAAAGAUCUGCCUGUCUCUGCCUCUCAAGUGCUGGGUUUGUGCCACCAUACCUGGCUUUGUUAAGGUAUCUCAGUAUUUCUUAAUCACUUAUUUGUAUCUGUACAAUUGUGCUACAUUUUAAAAUUAGGCUCCUAUUAAAAUUAGGGUUAGUGUUUACGCCUUAACUCUUAGCACCAAGCCUGGGAUAGUAUUUUAAAAUUCACACAAUAUUUUGGGAAAACACCAAAUUUCACUUUCAGAGAACUAGGAAGUUGUCGUUGACCUUGAUUAAUUGUGUGUGUGUGUGUGUGUGUGUGUGUGUGUGUGUGUGUGUUGUGUGGUUUUUCAAGUCAGGGUCUCACACAGUAACCUGCCUCAAGCUCCUAAGCGCUGGGAUUGAGUGACAGACUUUUGCUUACUACAAUGAGUUUGUUUUAGUAACAUGUAUCAAUUUAGAACAACUCUAUGUUUAACAUCAUCUUGUGAAAUGCCUUGUGCUUACCCAGGUCUAAGCACAGACCUCCUUGACCACAAUAGCAACUGUUUCAGUUUUUUUGUUUUGCUUAUUCCUCAAAUCCAGGAUUUUAAUAUUUCUAGUACUUUCUGUUGGUUUGUCAGAGUGCCCUUUAACAUGUGCUUCAAUAUUCACAAGGGAAUCAAAUAUUUAGAAAAAGCAACGGAGGCAGCAACAAUUUCUAACGUGAAGUCUCGGUGUUUGGAUACCUCUCUCCCACAUCAUGUUAGGUGCGUGGGCCCUGGCUUCUCUCACUGCCAGUUUCUGCUGUUGGGAGUUUCAGAAGGCGUGAGCCAGUGUGGGAUCCACUGUGAACUGAGACUAACUGUGGAGAAGCUCACUGCCACCUCUACUGAGGGGCGGGACACACGAAAUGCCGUGAUAUACAAGGGCAGACCACAUGAAUGGCACAGUGCACAGGACACAUGAAUUUCACGGUACACAAGGGCGGGACACACGGAUGUCCUGGGUCACAAGGGCAGGGCACAAAAAUGUCAUGAUACACUAUGGCAGACCACAUGAAUCCCAUGGUAUACAAGGCCAGAACAUGAGAAUGCCAUGCACACAAAACAAUUGUAGGAUCUGUUCUGGUCCAGCGGGUCAAAUUGAUGGAUAAGACAGAAUCUGAAAGGACGGGCUUCAAUCAAAGAAUAAAACCAGUAGGCAAAUGUCUGGAUAUGAUGUGUGAAAAGAAAAGACCUUUGACUAAGAAGGUCUGAAAUCAUCCGGGAGGAUGCAAUUCACAGGCAUGGGCUGAAGCCGCUGCCCACAGCUCAGUGAAACAGUAUCAAGUCACCGGGGAUUAUAGAUUGGCCAAGUUGACACAACAAAGUGAUCAUCAGGCUCCACCUCCUUCCAAUUUGGCAUCCAUAUUCCCAUCCUAAAAUACAGCUGAAUCUCAAAAUAGAGGCAGUAUGUAUGCUGAUGUAUGAUAGCCGACACACAUCUGAGACCAUUUUAUCCCACCCCCACCCCAGACAUGCCAUGCCCUUGAGUGUUCUAAUGUCUCCUUUAAUACCCUGUAACUUCAAUUCCAGCUUCCACUUCACCACCACCACCACCACCACCACCAUCAUCACCAUCAUUAUCAUCAUCUCUUAUGUUAGGUCAUAAAAGGAUGAGAAGAUGGGGUAGCUGGUGUACACCUGAAAUACCAGCUAUUCAGAAAGCUGAAGCAAAAGUAUCACAAAUUUAAGGCCAGCCCCGAGAAAUGUAGCUAGAUCUUGUCUUCCAGUCAAAAGCUAAAAGGCGGCUAGGAAUGGGUCAGUAAGACGGCUCACUGGGUAAAGGUGCCUGUCAUCAAGUCCUGAGGUCGAUCUCCGGGACCCACAUGGUGGAAGGAGAGAACUGACUCCUGUAAGGUGUCCUCUGACCUCCACAUGUGUGCACCCACCCUACUGACAGACUUCUAUUAAAGGGCUGCAGCUCACAAGGCCCUGAAUUUACAGUACUGCAAAACGGAAGGCAGGGGCUGGGGAGGGAGCGCAGGUGCUGAAGUGCUGUGGUGAUCCAAGUUCAACGCCCAGCUCUUAACCCUAACCGAGCAACAGUGACGCAAGCUUGUAAUCCCAGAGCUGUGUAGGUGGAGGCAGGAGGAUUCCUGAAGCUAAUGGCCAACCGCUGUAGCCUAGUUAACAAGGCCCAGGUGCAGGUGACAGACCCUGUCUCAAAAGCAAGAUGGAAGGCUCCUUAGUAAUAACAUGUGAAGUAGGCAUCUGGCCCGUCACCUACAUGCACACACACAAGCACGUUGCCUGUGGUGGUUUGUAGAGGAAUGGCCCCCACAGACUCAGAGUUAAAUGCUUGGUCAUUAUGGAGUGGUGCUAUUAGGAGGAAGUGUGUCACUGGGGUGGACUUUGAGGUUUAGAAUGCUCAAGCCAGACCCAAUCUCUCUCUCUCUCUCUCUCUCUCUCUCUCUCUCUCUCUCUCUCUCUCUCUCUCUCCUCUCUCUCUCUCUCUCCUCUCUCUCCUCUCUCUCCCUGCUGCCUGCCUGCAGAUCUAGAUGUAGAACUCUUGGCUCCUUCUCCGGCACCAUGUCUGCCUGGACACUACCACACGUCCCACCAUGAUGAUAAUGGACUAAACCUCUGACCCUGUCAGCCAGCCCCAGUUAAAUGUUUUUCUUUCUGAGAGUUGCUGUAGUCAUGGUGUCUCUUCCCAGCAAUGGAAAACCUAAAACACCUCCUCCCAGCCCCCGGGUGUAUGCUCACACAUACUAGAGCUAACACUCCCUCUGCCUUUGGCUGGGGCCUCAGUCGGUUGUGGUGCUCUGCAGGCUGGGAAGAUCCACUCCUGCAUUCCUCACAAACCACUGGUCAUCUUAAACUGGGUGGCCUUGGUUUCGUGUUGCCUUUCAUUACAAUACUAGGCGUACAGAAGAGGUUGUCCUGAAGGAGCGCCCUCCAUUUUGGAAGAACUCUUCUUAUCCCACCAUUUACAGGCAGCCCAGCUUCCCCCCUGCUCCCCUAGAAAUCACUAUAGUAACCUCUUCUCUGCCUGUUGACUGAGAGGCACCAGAAGCCCAGUGUGGCUGGAAGACACAGCCUCAACUUGAAUAGAGGGAUUCUGUGUUCAAGGUUCCUAGCGGAGGCGUUUAUCUUUUUGAAACCGAGCGAGACUUCUAGUGGAGCCAGUUCUAAAGACCAGAAACAAAGGUCUGCGUCAGACGGUAGCAACGGUAACUAACGGCUUUUUUGGUGAAAGGUUUUUGCUCUUCGACUGACCUGCACCGAGGAUUCAGAGAGUAUCUACCUAUUCUGCAGACAUUUUCCAAGUGAUCUGUGCAUCAGAAACUGGUGGGAUAAGACAGCCCCAAGCCUGAGAUCCAAGAGAUUGAUGAUCUCAAUUUCUACCCAAGAAACCUCGUAGACUCGUGGCCACUGGUCUGUGUGAGGAAAAGGAGAAAAACUCCAGGCUGCCCGGGUUCUGUUAGGAAGCACUUUUGAAAUGUCAUCUAUGCUGGCUGUGUUCCUCCAAAAUUCUUAUAUUUCCUAUUUUUCUCUUCUUCCCACUGCCCAAGCCCCUUCCCCCAGGAACGACUACAAGAAUUCCCAAGGACCACAGCAAACGGAAGUUCUCUUUUGGAUGUCAUGCACCCCAAUUUUGUUACCUACGUCUGACUGGAGAUUGGGGGGUUCGUUCUGUGCUUUCUGUUUUGUUUCUGUUUUUCUCUUUACUGAGUCUGAGAGUAAAGCAGGAACUACAUUUUGUUUACCUUUUCUUAGCAACAAGAAGGAAUCUUUAUUUCAAGUUGAAGAGACACAGGAAAAGAGCCUGCUGCGUCUUGGGAUCUAGGGCAAGCCUACUUUGCAGUUUCUGAGGACUUUAGUUUCUCCUGCCAAUGUUCUGCAGAUGUUCAGUGAGGUUGUUCUGAGCUGCCAUGUGGGUGCUGGGAUCCUCUGGAAGAGCAGCCAGUGCUGAGCCAUCUCUCCAGCCUCUAGAAGCAUUUUCUUUAGAAAGUUAAGUAAGCUCAGAUUAUGUCCGGCCUCCCAUACCAUCACCUUAUACAAUAUCAAUCAUAUUCACAUGCUUUUCUCCCCCUGCUUUGUCACUGGAUUAUGCUGGCUUUUGUAACCAUGUGCGUUUUCAGCAAAAUACGUGACCUUUGGCACCUGGGAGAGGCAACAGCGGAAUCUGCAAACUGGCAGAGAGGCUGAGUCAUUUAAUAUUACUCCUUUGUGUCGGUAUCCAGGACCUUACUCUAGGAAGGGAAACUGCUGAUUUUCAAGAAGAGAGUCACAGUCUUAGAACUCAAGUGUCUGUCCCUGUCAUCCCGCUGCUACACUUGGACCCGAUGCAGUGAGGCUGACCAUAGCUAACUUCAAAAUCUGGGCAAAGAUGUGGACCUGCUGAUGGUUAACCUUCAACGUCAACUUUUCGGGCUUUAGAUUUGACUAGGGAAGCACAUGUCUGUGUGCACCUGUGGGAGUAUUCCCAGAAGUACUAGAAGGAGACCCAUCCUGAAUAUGGGAAGCAGCACACACAGGCUGGGGGCCUACAGUGAAGAAAAAAGGGGGAAAAAAGGAGAAAGUGAACUGAGUACCAGUCCUCACUUCUGUCUGCUUCCUGCCUGGAGCUGCAGUGUGGUCAGCUGCCUCCCAUGGCUGCUCCAACAACUCCCACAAUGAUGGACUGUACCUUCCAACUGAGACACAAUGACCCCUCUCUCUGAUACUGCUUUUGUAUCAUGUUGCUGUAAUGAUAAAAUAAACUAAAAUACCUGCUUCCAAACACACAGUAAGACGGCAGGGCUUGAAGUAACCACUUAGGGUUGUGUUUAGCCUUUAGGGGCAAAGUCUGAUGGGCCAUAAACAUACUCGUGUUUAUGGUCCGGUGAUACAGAGGUGGCUUUAGUUGCUGCCAAUUCUGCUUCAGGAUGUCCAAGUUGUGCAACCCCUGCCUUUGAUCUCCUGCUUUCUUUUACUGUCUUGCAUAUUCAGGAAUACGCACUCAACCUGGCUUCUGCUCGCCUCCGACUCCUACGGUUUCCCAUCUUGCAGAGCAGACUCCGCCCACUGAUAUAGAGGACAAGUCAGAGCUGCCCUUGCAAGAGCUCGGUUUUCCAGCGUUUUCAAGGCUGAGUUGAUUAGCUCCUGCCCAGGUGUAUUUCCUGUGGCAACGGUACAAUGCCCUGAGUCAGCACUACCGCCCUGGAGGAAUUUCAGAGCCAGCCAGCCUUCAACACCUUAGGAGGUGACUGUGCUGCUUUCCCAAACCCACAAAGUACUCAAGAUUCCGGUCUUUCUUGAGAGAUAACUGGAGCUUUGUGGGGAUAGGGGGAGAAUUCCCACGAGCGGCUGACGAGCGCUUUCUCUCCACUCAAAAGUCCUGAGUAUUGGUGGCUGUGAGGAUGACCAAAGGAGGUCUUGUGGUUGUUGUUGUUAUUGUUGAUGGUGGUGGUGGUGGGAAGUGUGUGUGUGUGUGUUAGAGUAAACUGAGAGCAUGUGAAGCCCGGGGGAGAGGGGUGGAUUUUUAGACUAAGGCGAACUGAGGGGACUUGGCCAUCUAUCUAAUGGGUUAAGACCAACAUCCUCUUUAAAAUAAGUAGAAGAAAAAGUAGGGGGGAAGUUACUUAAUGAUACUUUGGUUCUCAGUUCACAUGUGUGUGUACACAGCUACACACACACACACACACACACUCACACACACUCACACAUUCAGAUAGAGACUUAUUUCCUGCUAGGAUAAAUUAAACCAUAUUUGUAAAACAUUAAGAAAAAUGACCACAGAGCUCAUUAAGACACCAGGGUCAGAAACCGUUGCAACAGCCAUGCUUCUAAGCGAAGACGAGAAGGCGCUGUGAGCAGAAAUGGGCUGAGAGCCACCAGAGUGAUUAAAUGGGAUGUCUGGUGCCACCAAACCCAGAGCUGACGCUCGAUUCUGACUCUGAGCAUCUCGUUUAAUUAAGGACCCAAAGCUUCCAUUUCUUAAUUACAGAAAGGAGAAAGCUUUAUUAAACUUGGAUCCUAGUAGAUGCUUAGCUUGGCUGGGGCUCGACUCGUAAACUCUGAUCAGGAGUGUGACGCUAAGAAAGUAUGGCGUUCACUUUCUGUGCCUGUUUUACCAUUAAUAUAAAAUUCCCAUCCGGGUUAAAAGAGAUGUGGUUUGUGUGUUUGCUUGUGAACGUGCUGGAGAUGGAGUCUAAAGUCUCACACACACUGGGCAAACACUGCUGUACGCUGUACUCCCUGAUGUACUCCUAACCCUCGUGGUGUGGUGUGUGUGUGUGUGUGUGUGUGUGUGUGUGUGUGUAUAUAUGUAUAUAUAUACAUAUAUAUAUAUAUAGCGCACUUUUCAAAUGAUGCUGUCUGGAAGUUGAGACAGUCAAUGAAGCUUCUAGCCACUUUUAUUCUAUGCUCAGGAAACGAAGCUGAAUGUGGUGGUGCCAGGAGGGAGGAGAGCCUAGGAUUCUCUGUUCUGAGCCCCACACCCAGCCACCAGGCCACUCGGGCCCUCAUGCUGGAAGACUGAGACUCGGGACGGAUCCUCUACUCCUCUCUCCCAGUGUUUCAGAGGCUCUUGGUCUAGACCAAUAUCCAAAGUGUUCAUGCAGCAUCUGGUUAUUAGUAGAGAGAUGGAAAGAGACUAUUCUAGAACUGCUCAACGGAAACCCUGCUUUUGUUCCUGCAGACACCAGGCUGGAAAUCCAAGCUAAGCGAGGUGAGCCGCUUUGCAUGGCAUUGUCCAGAGAGUCAGUGGCGAGACAAGAUUUGAACCAGGCCUCCUUGUCCGGAAACCACUCUCCACUAUCCUGAGUCUCAGACCGGCCUCACAGCUCGCACCACAGAUGCAGGUGAGCGCUGGGGUUGGAACCUGCGUUGGAGGCUCCAGUUUUUCACUUCCUGGCCGUGAGACUUGGGGGCAAGUUCCGUACUAGUUUUAGCUUCUGUCCUCUUGUCCAAGACAAUGGGACCAAUCACACUAAGGACUUGUAAGUUAGACACCACGCUAUUAUUUACCAUAAUGCCUGACAGACACAAAGUCUCUCCAAACCAUUAGCCAUUGAAGUGCUGGUUAGGAUCAAGUCAAUUAAAGCAAUAGGUGGUUUUGUUUUGACCUGUGAGUGACAUUUCUCAAUUCUUAUAGAGCCAAGGAAGCAGAGAUAGAAGUGUGCAAGACACGUGAGGUGGACGGAAGGAGGAAUCCGGAGGAAUGUCAGGAAAUGUGUAGUGCAGAGAAACAUUAAGGAGAUUAAAUUAUUUUUGGAGCAAUGCAGACAUAAAUUGUUUUGUUAAUACCAUUAAGUCCAUUCUAGGUCAUAUCAGAUCUCACCAGCGUGGGAAAGUGUUUGGGGUUGAAAAGAAUAGUGUCUGCCAUGCAGAAGUGAUGGCACUUAUAUAGAAUAAAAGGAGGGAUCCAAGGACGGCAAGAAAGGGCUUUCCCCUUCUGCUGGACAGCUAGAACCAACUCUCCCCAGUAGACACUGAAUUCAGAAGGUGAGGCACAAAGGCCCCAGGGUGAAGGCCAGAUUUUUGUUCAGUGGCAUUAUUUGCUGACAAUGACCCUGGAGGCCCCUUCAAGGAUCAGGAAUCUGGUAGCCUUUGGAAGGUGACAGCCAAGGUUAGGUCCCUUAUGCUGAGUUAUGUUUAGCAUGCCGUAGGCACUAAGGCUUGGUGGCAUUGCACAUUUAAAAAGAUUUAUUCAUUUUUACUUGACCUGAAUGAGUGUUUUGUCUGCAUGUAUAUCUGUGUCCCACAGUGGCCAGAAGAUGGCAUCAGAUCCCCCUAGAACUAGAGAUAUAGAGGGCUGUUAACUGCCAUGCGGGUGCUGAGAAUCAAACUUGGGUCCUCUGCAAGAACAACAAGAGCUCUUAAGCACCGAGACACUCCUCCAUUUACACCUUACAGUUUAAAAAACAUAAAUGGUAUGACAGCCAGAGCUAUGUAGAGAAGCCCUGUCUCAAGAACUCAAAAAUAAAAAUAAUUUCUUGGGGUAUUCAGUUCAGUAAAAGGCUCUUGGUCAGCAUGCACGAGGCUCCAGGUUCCAUCCCCAGCACUGCAUAAAUCAAAAAAUUAAUAAAAUUAAAACCCAUGUUCACCUAAUAGGCUGCCCUUUGUCUUCCUGCACCCAUCAUGUACCCUACUGAAGUAUGACAGGAGUUAGGCAAGUGAGGCCGUUCACAACAUCUAGUUCAUGACAUCCAGCUCACGACAUCCAGUUCACGACAUCCAGUUCAUGACAUCUCUAGUUCACGACAUCUAACUGAAUUGUAUCCAACCCGCCUGAGUUAUUUUGAGAAUAUUUUAUAUUAACUUGAAACGAGAAGGUUAUCUGGGGGAAAGUUGCACUGGCUGUCCUCAGGGCUCCUGCCUAUGCAGUGGGAAGCAGAUGCUGUUCUCGUUUGUCUGAAAGAAGAGCCUGCGUCGAGUAAGAAUUCUCCAGUGGGAUCCCAUCCCCCAUCCCUGGAAACAUUGGGUGCUACUUUGAUGCCUCCUCCUGUUCCUCAGAUGACCCACGCAAAAACCGCACCACACUUAUCUGUCACGGAAAACACCACGUUCAGAAUCCUCAGUCUCUGGAGCACUGUGUGUGUCACCCAUGCUAACGCUGAGCCAGAUAUUGUGUGUGUGUGUGUGUGUGUGUGUGUGUGUGUGUGUGUGUGUGUGUACAUAGCUUAGUGCUGCCCUCAACCAGAGAAGAUUCUCUUCAGUGCUCAGUAGUUAUGCAGAGAUUCCCUAAAGAUUUAUUUUUAUGUAUAUGAGUACACCGUAGCUGUCUUCAGACACACCAGAAGAGGGCAUCGGAUCCCAUUACAGAUGGUUGUGAGCCACCAUGUGGUUGCUGGGAGUUGAACUCAGGACCUCUGGAAGAGCAGCCAGUGCUCUUAACCACUGAGGCAUCUCUCCAGCCCAAUGCAGAGAUUUCUAACUGGAUAAAAAGCUACAUUGAAUACUCAGUUCCCCCUGAACCUUAAGGCUCAGGAAACAAUGAGGAAGAAGAGGCAGAAGGAAUAUAAGAGCCAGAAUAUGGGGAAGAGUGCCGUGACGUGCUCUCUUCUGGAUACGAGGCCACGACACUUACCAACUGCAGCUAUGGGGCUGUGAUUACCCACAGAAGAGCAAGUCGACAUGAUCAGUCAACAUUCCAACAGGCAGCGGCAGGAUUUAGUGAGUUGUUAACAGAGAGACAGCAAAAGACAUAUAGAGGGAGAGAUAGAGAAGAGAGAGCAGAGACUCACAAAGACAGAGACAGAGAGGGACAGAGGCCAGACAUGAAGCAGGAGGGCGUGUGCUGAGGGUGCCUGGGGGAAGUAGGAGAGAGGGUGUGGGGGAUCAAGAUACAUUGCUCCCAUGCAUGAACUUGUCACAUGUAUGAAUAAAUAAAAGAUAGCCUACUGAAAACAACACUAUCCACACCUGCUAUAACUCUUGGUUUAUGAGACAGAGAGCAGGCCCUGAGCAGUAAGGUCUUGAGCCACACUUCCUGCACAACCCCCAUGGAGGACAAUAGCCACACAGCACAAAGCUUGGAUUACCUGGAAUGUCCUUGUCCUACUGUAAUGCAACCCUUCCCUUUCACGGUCAGCCAAGUUUAUUCAAACAUAGAUUCGGGAAAAGGACGUAAGAGGGUCUGCUCUAAUGCACCCUGUUGCUUUCAACACAGAACCUCAGAAACCAUGACACAGUAGAGGGCACACCCUUGUCGAAAACCUUACAGAGCCACGGAAUCAGAAGCAAAAGGCGUAAGAUGGCAUCUUUGUCUUCCCCUUGCUUCCCGAUUUCAGAGAGCAAGCCUUUCCUUCACCUUCUACACACUUACCUCCUGUAAUGACUCAAGCUUAACAUUUCCUGGUCAAGAUGCAAGAUUCGUGGUCAGCUAUCUAAGCAGAGGCACUGAGUGGUGGAUGGCGGGCGUAUACGUGGCCCACAUGAGUCCAGAAGGUGUUUUAUGUUAUAAUCAAACUUCUACAGAGGAGUGUGAUCUCCAGGUAAGGCGCAGGCACCGUUGGGUUGACUUUUGACAGGGUUCCAAUUCCAGUAAGGAGAAAACAGCCCCUGGAAUAUCCAACCCAGUAUUCUGCCCCUGACAGUUGCUCUGAGGGGUGCUGCUCAAACAGGAUGACUGACCCCAUGUUACUGUGGGACCUGUCUUCCAGGAGUUGUGUGAUGGCUGGCUGCAUUUACAAUCACUUCAGGCCCAAGGGCCCAUGUCCCUCUCUUAAACUACAUCGAUGAGAAAGAAAGAAUAGGAGAGUGAUUGGCUGAGUGUACACCUGUGUAGUUUAGCUUCAGGUCAGAGGGUGUGGCAUCUCGAGGAAGUUUCCUCUCCCCUCUGGACAACAGAACUCCAGCUCUGGCUGAGUGCUGAGGUAGGCGAUCACAGCCCUAGGGAGACUGCAGUGGUUUCUGUCUCUCCUCUUCAUCGGUAGCCACCUAGGUCAAAGGCCUAAGGGUGCUUCUUGGCAUAACAGAUUAAGGCACGGAACACCCCAGAGCCUGUAUUUUGCCUGAUUUUUCUUGAAGCAAAUAAAGCGACUUUAUGUAAGCCAGAAAAUAAAGUUGCCCAUGAUCCCUAGUGCGAAUUGCUUGUUAAAUCCACCAAUUCUAUAUAAAGCAGUAAGUGGCUUCAAGUUGGAGAGAAGUUAUAGGGCCAGUGGUGGCGUUAGGCAUUCUGUUCCUGUACCUGACUUCAGGAAGCAGGUCCAUUCAUGACAGUGACUCCUCCUGACUGUCAGAGUUACAAACCAGAUAGUACUUCUCAAAAUAGUUCUGCCCUAGUAAUUCUGAAGGAUUAAUUGAAGUCAGUGCACGUAGUGGCUAUUCCUGGUUGUCAACUUGACUAUAUCUGGAAUGAACUACAGUCCAGAAUUGUAGGGCUCACCUGUGAUCUUGAUCCUGAGGCUGGGAGAUACAACUUUCUGACCUGGAUCUUGGCAUGGAGAUCUUGAGACACAGUGGCUAUGGAUCCCAGGAGACUAAGGCAAAGAGAUCUCUGAGUCAUCUGGGACAAAGCAAGUCCCAGAUCCAGGCAUGGUGGUACACACCUUUAAUAUGGGACACACCUUCUACUGGAGACCUACAUAAGGACUUGGAAGAAGGAAGAGUCUCUCUUUUUAGCCUGCCUGCCUUGUGGGACUGAGAAAAUGCUAGAUCCUUGGACUUCCAUUCACAGCUGCUGCUGACCAUUGUUGGGAAGUUGGACUACAGACUAAGUCAUCAACAAAUCCCCUUACUAUACAGAGACUACCCAUAAGUUCUGUGACUCCAGAGAACCCUGACGAAUACAGUGCAGAAAACCAUUACCAUUUUACACUGAAGAGAGGUGCCCAAAAGACAAAUGGAAGUGCCACGAGCUUUGGUCCAGAAAAUCAGCAAACACUGAAUUGGGGGCGGGGCGUGUUGCAUAAUGAAAUCUAUUAUAAAUGUAAGACUCGGGACAACUUUCCAUGGACUGAGAGAUUACUCUGCAUAGACUUUCUAAAGUCAUUAAAAUUUCCAGCAAAGCAAGUCCAGCAGUAACAGGCAGACAGUUCUCUCGUCUAAAUUCAGAUUUGUCCACUCAGCAAUUAUUACUGCCUUCCCACAGUGAGAAAAAUGUUCCAGAGAGGAUGAAGAUGGCCUUGGACCAGAAAGGCAGUGUCUGCUCUGUGAGAACGGGGCUGUUACUUCAAGAGGGGACUAUUAUCUCCAGAUGAAGAAAGCUGUCUGGCUGAAAGACAGACUAUGCUGGAGCCCCAUGCCUGGUCAAAGCAGGAAGUGUCUGUCUGGUAUCUGACUGGUACAUCUACAAUGCAUCCCACCCAAGGCUGAGGGCACAUCGGAGAAGAGCAGGAGGAAGGAUUCAAGGGCCAGAAGAUGAGGACGGCUUCUGUGAAACAGCGUCUUCAAGAUGUUAGAGGGAUUCCCCAACCAUGCACAGCAUGAUUGCCCAAACAAGGCCUGCAUAACGACAACACCAGUUAACCUGCCAAUGCUGACUAGCCCCACCCCUCCAGAUGAUUGGUGGCUGCUGAGAGAGGGAGAAUGACUUUUCUUCAGGAACCAGACCUCUCUCUGAUAGUCAUACAAUUUCAAAUUGUCACCCCUAGACAUAUGUACCUAAGAGCAACAAUAAAUGAGGUUGUGUGUGUGUGUGUGUGUGUGUGUGUGUGUGUGUAAUACACAUAAGUAAUAAUUAUAGAAGAAGACGUAAUGAACUUGAGAGGGAGUCAGGCAAGGCACAUGAGGAGUUGAAGGUAGGAGGGAGGGGAGGAAAUAAUUUAAAUAGACAUGUAAAACUUAUGAGAACGUAGAUGCUACAGUAGAAGUGUGGCCUGAAAGGACCAACUGGACUCGAGCAAAAAUUAAAAGCCCUCUUCAUAAGGCGAAGAGAAGAGGUGCUUAGGAGCCCUCUCAGUUACUAAAGUGCUUGCUGCACAAGUCUGGGGACCUGAGUCCCCACUUCCAGAACCCACACAACAAAAGCAGGUGUGCAGUCACCUGUAAUACUGUGCUGAGAAGGCUGAGACAGGAAGGGCUGGCUUUGAGGCUCCCUGCCUAGCCUGCCGAGACAAACAGCUGAG